AUGUUUUUCCUUACACAAGUUUCUACGCUCCAGGCAACGAGGAAGGUGCUCUACCGAGGUAGAUGUGUUCGCAGGCUUUACCCAUUGAUUCCGGAGUUUAGAAGAAUAAAUAAGCAAGCUUAUGGUGUCACCAAAAUCUCCUCGACAAGGUGGCAUGAUAGACUAGGGCAUGCAUCAUUUUCUUUAGUUGAACGAUUGCUUAGGAAGAAUAAGCUCCCAUAUGUUGGAGAGCGUGAUGUUGAAACAAUUUGUGAUUCUUGUCAAAAGGCUAAAAGCCAUCAAUUACCUUAUCCAAUUUCCACGAGUAUUUCUACCAAACCGUUGCAACUUAUCUUUUCUGAUGUUUGGGGUCCUGCUCCAAGUUCUGUUGGUAGGCAUACUUACUAUGUUAUCUUCAUUGAUGACUAA
RNAcentral lists this ribosomal RNA (408 nucleotides) under Triticum aestivum (bread wheat). Its description in RNAcentral is "partial small subunit ribosomal RNA". Lineage: Eukaryota; Viridiplantae; Streptophyta; Magnoliopsida; Poales; Poaceae. The record is from RNAcentral.